GUGGUCCGAAAUGGUUGACAAUGCAUUGCCUUUGCAUUGCCGAUCACUUGAGCACACCCCUUU
This 63-nucleotide microRNA precursor is filed under the name Panagrellus redivivus. Its description in RNAcentral is "microRNA prd-mir-7875 precursor". The record is from miRBase by way of RNAcentral. Lineage: Eukaryota; Metazoa; Nematoda; Chromadorea; Rhabditida; Panagrolaimidae.